GAGGAACUGUGGCUCAGUGGAAUAGCACUUGCUGGGCACGCAGAAGCUCCCAGGUUCAAUUCCCAGCAUCCUCA
Molecule: transfer RNA, 74 nt
Filed under: Sphaerodactylus townsendi
Lineage: Eukaryota; Metazoa; Chordata; Lepidosauria; Squamata; Sphaerodactylidae
Description: tRNA-Ala
Source: RNAcentral